This 595-nucleotide long non-coding RNA is filed under the name Phoenix dactylifera (date palm). RNAcentral describes it as "long non-coding RNA (PDAC_LNC020987)". The record is from RNAcentral. Lineage: Eukaryota; Viridiplantae; Streptophyta; Magnoliopsida; Arecales; Arecaceae.
AGGUCCGCCGUACCGGUGGCCGGCCGGUACCGGUACCGUACCGGCCGGUAUGCGGUGGUUUCAAAAACCACAGCGCGCGGCGCUGUGGUUCUAAAAAAAAAAAUCGUACUGGUGCGAACCGGCCGGUACGGGCCCGUACCGGCCGGUUUGGAUAAAAAACCGGAAAAUACCGGUUUUUUAUCCGUUCCGGUACCGGACCGGUACGGGCCGGUACGGCAUUCCAUGCUCUUGAGUCUUGACUGAUACUUUUUAACUUCACUGGCCAUGAAUCAAAUGAUUUAGAAGAAUUCAAAAAAUAUAACACCUAUGUCUCCACUAAUACUCAAGACCAAAGAUUACAUGAGUAAUCUAAAUAAAGCUUCCUGAUUAUAAGCAACAACUUCUAUAGUUCUGCUGGAAAGUGGAGUUGCAAUUCCAUGUUUGUUGUUGUGACAACUCACGGUUAUAAGAACAGUUUCAAAUAUGUCCCAACUGUUUUGGGUCGGCUUUAUGAAUUCUUAUUUGCCAAGUAUUCUUAUUUAGGGCUAUCUUAGAUCUUCCCCUCUUUUUCUUAACACCUUCAACACAAAUCAAAAAUACCUCUCUUUACUGGAGC